Molecule: ribosomal RNA, 3759 nt
Filed under: Triticum aestivum (bread wheat)
Lineage: Eukaryota; Viridiplantae; Streptophyta; Magnoliopsida; Poales; Poaceae
Description: partial small subunit ribosomal RNA
Source: RNAcentral
AUGUCGGUAGCCAAGAAGGACGAGGUUUGCGGUCAUCCGCUUGGGCUUCGAUUGGGUGAGCCGGCUGCUGGUGUUCCCAUUAAGAAAAGGCCAGUUUUCUUAUCCGACAAAUCAGUUCCAUCUGGAAUGACACUCUCCAUGAAGCCCCCAUCUACUCCGACGGGGAUGUCCGUCUCGGCUCUGGGGGCGGGCUUUAGCAACGAGCCUGUCUUGAAUAGAUCUAAAUCGGAUAUUCCCAAUAGAUCUUUUACUCCGUCGACGAACGAGAAGAAAGGCGUGCUACUUAAUGGCUCAAGCAAGAUCCCCUCUCGCGGAGAGAGUGGUAGACUAGGGAGUGCUGCUCCCGUUGCCAGAUCACAGAGUCACAAGUUUCUGACUUUGGAUUUACAGUUAGCGUCUCGUCAGAAUGUCAAAAUCAACUCUAAUUCCCCUGUCAAGAAAGAGAAACUAGAUCAGGGGUUUUCUAUAUUUCCUUCAGCAAGACCUCCCAAGGAUGUGCAAACAACAAGUGGCAUGGAAUCUUCUUCUAACGCUAGCUUGGGAAAACUAUCUAAUUUAGAUCUUAAUGUAUCACUGGACCCAGUUGAUCAACUUGAAGGUUUGCCUACAAUGCAGGCUGGCUUUAACAUACCUCAUCAUACAACAAUUCAGCAUCAGAAAGCACAGGUUCCCCCAGUGGCACCCUUUUCUUCAGUAAGCAGUCGGCUGAGUCUAAAUAUUGACAAUACUCUGAAACAGCCGCAUGCAUAUCAACUUCCUAAUAAGAGUGUAGCAGCUGAUGUUACCUUAGAUUUGCAACUUAAACCACCAACCAGACCCGAGCUUGGAAUAAGCUGGAAAGGCCUUGCUCCUGAUCCAGAGCUAAGCCUCUCUCUGUCUGGUAAUCACACAGAUGAGCCUAAGGGUCUGAAUGUUCCUGAUGCUAUAUUUACAUCUGAACCUGUUGAAAGAGCCAAUAAGAUCAGCCUGGAGGUUCCUGCACCAGUCUCUGAUAAAUCACCAGCUGAGAAGCUUCUGAAACCUGUGGCGUGUAAUGUAAAUCCUCGCACUACCAUGCCACAAACAGUUUCUGGAAAUGUGGAGAUAAUGCCCAGUAAUUUGGUGAAGAAAGAGCCUGGAGAACCUACAGGGCGACAUAUCCAGAAAAAUGUAGAAAAGGCACCUCUGUUCGUCCAACAAAGUGUUGGACAGGCUAGCAGUAGUGCUGAAUUUGAAAAAACUGGCAACCUAAACCGAGUGUGUGGUAAAGCUGGCUUUGAUUUGUACUCUGGAAAAUUUCCAAAUGGUAGUGCUGUCCGCAAUGGAUUGGAGGUAGUGACUGAUAGUGUUCCUGUACAAACUGACAAGUUGUGUGGUGUUGCUUGCACUGAGAAAGUUAUCAAGCGUGAAGAAGUGACAACUGCCAUCCCAAGCCCUGUGAUUGCAACAGUAAGUGGUCAGUCUGAGUCAUUAAUUGCUAAAUCACUGCAUUUGGAAGGUAAUGUUGCCAGCCCUGUUGCUGGAUUAUGUGAACCAGCUAGUCAACCCACCAUUUCUGCUUCGGGACCUGCAAGCUGUAAUCCUGUUAAAGCUACUACUGAUUGUAAACCAGCAGUUAAUCAGAUUCGUGCUCGCAAAAAUGUGGCCCGGAAGCCUUGUGAUGUAUCCCGAAGUUCCUCCAACCCUACAGCUGAAUCUUUGGUUUUCAAUUCUCUGCACCGUGCUGUACUUGAUGGUAUGUCCCAAGGAAGUGCUUCAAUGGACUUUUCAGAGGAUGGUGAUAAUGCUGUUUCACAGCUGCCUACUACCAAUAAGCCUCAUGUUGAGUCAUUGGGUAAUAGUCAAAUUACUGAGCUUAAUAACUUAAUCACAGAGCCGCGGAAAGAAGGUGAUAGUAAUAUGCAUCAUGACUGUUUGUCCGUGACAAAUAAGGUUCACAUUCAGGGCACUGAUGAUGUGAAGCGUGUUAAUACGCCAGAUGUCAUUGCCACUCAUUCAGGUGAGGAGGAGCAUGAAAGUGAGGUUUCUGUUAAUGGGAAAGCCAAAGACAAACAAUUGUUGACAUCUGAUAAGAAUUCCCCACUGACUAAUACUGACAUUACCAUGGAAGAUGUUAAGAUUUCCGCAGGUGCCAGUUCAGCAGAUCUUACGAGAUCACCUAUUUUGGGAGCUUCAGGUUCCCAUAAAAUAGAUUCUACGAGGCAAUCUCCCAAGACAUCUGAUAACACUGUCGAGAAGUGUAGAAUCCCAGUGAUAAAAUCUGAAAGGAGUCAGUCUCCUGAUGGUAAGCAAGCUGCUAAUUGUAGCGAGGACAAUACAAAAAUUGCUGCUGUAAAGAGUGAGCAUGGGACAGAAAAGGAAGAGAUUGCUAGAGGUUCUAAUUUACAGCCAAACGAUCCAGUUUUGGGUGAAGAUUCACUUGUUGACGGAGCUUCGACCAGUCAACUACAUAAUGAAUCUACAGAGGUAAAAUCGACAGGUGAAAGAUCAGAACACGAAAAAUCCAAACCUGACUCUUGCAUGACAUCUUCUGUACAGAAUGAAAAAGAUGGACAGGUUAAUGGGUCGCAUUGGCGAGAUGUGGCAAAUGCUUAUGUUAAUAGGUAUGAUUCUUGUUAUUCUUUUGUUUUCGCAGUCAUGUUGUAUGUAGCAUGGCUGGCUUUGCCCUGUGCGUAUUUAUGUUUCUUGGUUUUAUCCUUGACUCUUGUUACAGAAGGUUGUCUUUAUUUUUUUUACAGGAAUGAGAGAUGGGAGAGGUUCAUGCAGUCUGAGCGAGAGAACAAUAGAGAGUUCCAUGGUGGCAGAGACAUGAACAAUCAACGGAGGAUGGACCCACGUUAUCGUGGUCGUGGUGGUGGAUAUCAUGGCCAUCCAAGGAACUUCAGGGGUCCAAGAAUGAGCGAUGAGUCUGAAAUUGACUUCGAAGAUGAACCUAUUGUUGGCAGAAGGAGGCCACAUGAAAAUGACUACGGGCACUUGCACCGAACUCAGCAUAGGCGGCUGCGUUCACCACCGCAUCAGAUGCCUGGCUGCCUCAUGAGAGAAAUGGAGCAUGACAGAUUUUCUGGGAGAGAGAUUAUGGACCCUAGGCUGUUGGAACACGGGCAGAUGGAUGAUGUCCCAGAUGACAUGAUGGAACAGAGGUUUUUCAUGCCCCAUCCUCAUUCACAGCACACUCUAGGUGAUCAUGCAUUUAUCCACAGGGACAGCAGUCAUUCACCUGGUCAAAGAAGGGGCGCCCCCGUGCAUUUCCACCGGGGACGGUCCCCUGAAACCAUGCAAAGAUCACCACCACUAAACAGAAGUGACAGACCAUACUUACCUCAUCAACGCCACAUACGACGCCGUGGUUCUCCAUUCGACCGAGUAGGACAUGACGAGAGAGGUAUGCAAAGGAACAUGAAGCGGUGUGGCAUGCAUCAAGGUGUGGAAGGUGAGACCUUUGAGCCACCUUUACAUCCCGCUCAACUAGCCGAGCUACAUGCAGAGGCUGAGCUUACAAAGAGAAGGAGGUUUGGGGAGAGGAGAGCGUAUCGUCGAUCCUUGGAACGGAGCCCCAUGGGCGGCGACGAGGAGAUGCUCUCGUACCACGGCGAUGGCGACAUCGACUUUGCCGAUGGUGAUGGCGGUCCACGGGAGCCUGACGGCCGUGGCUUCAGGAACAGAAUGGAGCACCGAGCAAGGGGCGAGCAGGAAGAUGGCUUCAGGUACCGUGGCCCUCAGGGGGGGUGCCGUGACGGCAACCCGAAUGACAGUAGAUCGAAGAAGAGGAGGUACUGA